UACGUAGGUGGCAAGCGUUGUCCGGAUUUAUUGGGUUUAAAGGGUGCGUAGGCGGUCCUAUAAGUCAGUGCUGAAAUAUCCCGGCUUAACCGGGAGGGUGGCAUUGAUACUGCAGGACUUGAGUGAAGUCGAGGUAGGCGGAAUUGACGGUGUAGCGGUGAAAUGCUUAGAUAUCUGGAGGAACACCGGUGGCGAAGGCGGCGUCCUGGACCAACACUGACACUGAGGAGCGAAAGCCAGGGGAGCAAACGGG
RNAcentral lists this ribosomal RNA (253 nucleotides) under uncultured bacterium. RNAcentral's name for it is "partial 16S ribosomal RNA". It matches the Rfam family "Bacterial small subunit ribosomal RNA", at positions 524 to 776 of the family's 1533-position model. The record is from RNAcentral.